GAUGAACGCUGGCGGCGUGCCUAAUACAUGCAAGUCGAGCGGACCAAAGAGAGCUUGCUCUCUGAGGUUAGCGGCGGACGGGUGAGUAACACGUGGGUAACCUGCCUGUAAGACGGGGAUAACUUCGGGAAACCGAAGCUAAUACCGGAUGAUAAAGAGAAACGCCUGUUUCUUUUUUGAAAGUCGGCCUUGUGCUGACGCUUACAGAUGGGCCCGCGGCGCAUUAGCUAGUUGGUGAGGUAACGGCUCACCAAGGCGACGAUGCGUAGCCGACCUGAGAGGGUGAUCGGCAACACUGGGACUGAGACACGGCCCAGACUCCUACGGGAGGCAGAAGUAGGGAAUCUUCGGCAAUGGACGAAAGUCUGACCGAGCAACGCCGCGUGAGCGAUGAAGGCCUUCGGGUCGUAAAGCUCUGUUGUCAGAGAAGAACAAGUACCGGAGUAACUGCCGGUACCUUGACGGUACCUGACCAGAAAGCCACGGCUAACUACGUGCCAGCCGCCGCCGUAA
This 513-nucleotide ribosomal RNA is filed under the name uncultured bacterium. Its description in RNAcentral is "partial 16S ribosomal RNA". It matches the Rfam family "Bacterial small subunit ribosomal RNA", at positions 28 to 523 of the family's 1533-position model. The record is from RNAcentral.